Molecule: unclassified non-coding RNA, 227 nt
Filed under: Hevea brasiliensis (rubber tree)
Lineage: Eukaryota; Viridiplantae; Streptophyta; Magnoliopsida; Malpighiales; Euphorbiaceae
Source: RNAcentral
UGUCAGAAGGAAUUGAAAUCUUCAAGAUUACUGAUUUAUUAAGAACUGCAGAGUUGAAAUUUAAGGACGAAAUGUUAUGUAUACUUUUGCCUUUAUAUUGAUUGAGGGAAUAAUAAUGAACCAAUCAGUAGUUGAGGACUUCCAAGAGAAGAGCAUAUCUUAGUCAUUAUUUGUAUGCCGUUUAUCGUAACUCAGUUUUGAAUUUAAAAGGCCAAAGGCUUAUUUUG